RNAcentral lists this non-coding RNA (99 nucleotides) under Bacteroidales bacterium WCE2008. RNAcentral describes it as "TPP riboswitch aptamer (THI element)". It matches the Rfam family "TPP riboswitch aptamer (THI element)". From Rfam's summary of the family: Vitamin B(1) in its active form thiamin pyrophosphate (TPP) is an essential coenzyme that is synthesised by coupling of pyrimidine and thiazole moieties in bacteria. RNAcentral also lists the same sequence under 1 other name. Lineage: Bacteria; Pseudomonadati; Bacteroidota; Bacteroidia; Bacteroidales. The record is from Rfam by way of RNAcentral.
CAUUACAAGCGGGGGUACCCGGCGCAUGCCGGGUUGAGAUCAUACCCAAUGAACCUGAUGCGGUCAAUACCGCCGUAGGGAGGCUUAAUCUCAGACGCA